RNAcentral lists this ribosomal RNA (433 nucleotides) under uncultured bacterium. RNAcentral's name for it is "partial 16S ribosomal RNA". It matches the Rfam family "Bacterial small subunit ribosomal RNA", at positions 29 to 507 of the family's 1533-position model. The record is from RNAcentral.
AGCGAACGCUGGCGGCAGGCCUAACACAUGCAAGUCGAACGGAUCCUUCGGGAUUAGUGGCGGACGGGUGAGUAACACGUGGGAACGUGCCCUUUGGUUCGGAACAAUUCAGGGAAAUUUGAGCUAAUACCGGAUGUGCCCUUCGGGGGAAAGAUUUAUCGCCCUUGGAGCGGCCCGCGUUGGUUUGGCUAGUUGGUGAGGUAACGGCCCACCAAGGCGACGAUCAGUAGCUGGUCUGAGAGGAUGAUCAGCCACACUGGGGCUGGGACACGGCCCAGACUCCUACGGGAGGCAGCAGUGGGGAAUCUUGCGAAAUGGGCGAAAGGCUGACGCAGCCAUGCCGCGUGAAUGAUGAAGGUCUUAGGGUUGUAAAAUUCUUUCAGCGGGGACGAUAAUGACGGUACCCGCAGAAGAAGCACCGGCUAACUUCGUG